UCUGGAUACACGGCUUUACAGGAGGAAGUUCAAUGGCAUACAAAAGCAGCCAAAUUCUAAGAGGGGAGAAAAGAUGGUGGCUCUGCAAAUUUCACUAAGGUGCCAAUUGUAUGAAGACAGUCCAAAGCUCCUAAGGGACAUUUGACUAGUAUGACUCAGUGCCCUCUUGAUGCGCACUUUGGAUGUUCACAUGCUAGGCAUGACACUGUGCCACUGUGACCACCAGCAACAAAGCAGCUGAACUGACCUCAGAAGAAAGGCCAUGGGAU
Molecule: long non-coding RNA, 269 nt
Filed under: Gallus gallus (chicken)
Lineage: Eukaryota; Metazoa; Chordata; Aves; Galliformes; Phasianidae
Description: long non-coding RNA NONGGAT001238
Source: RNAcentral